UCAAUCACUUCCUAAGAAUAUCCAGGAAACUGAGGCUUAACCCUUUGCAGAGGUUGGUUCCCCCCUUUAAGAAGAAGUUGCUCCGCCAACUGCUAUGCCGAUGAUGGUUCCCGUAGUCGAUGCGAGAGCCCAAAAUACCGAGGUGAGGGAGACAAAUAGCGCAAAGAAGCUGCCAAGUUCUGAGCCGGAGAACUCUCCUAAUAGCAGCCCUCAGAGCUCCCAAGUUAAUAUGGUGGAUGAGUUUCAAUUUGUCAAAACAAAAGGCAGAGGUCGAGCGAAGGAAGGAGUCGCGGUCGGAAGGCCUCAACGGUUAACUAAUAGAAGGUGACGAGAACAUCUACAACAAUUGGGAGGCGAUUUGGGAGAUUACUCGAUUGCUAAAUAUAGGAGAAACGGAACAUGAGUCUAUCUCCCAUACACUUGAGAUUGAUCGGGCCACAACAAGCAUAAGUGACUUCUUUCAUAAACUUGACUCAGACCAUAUCACAUGCAACUCGGACCCUGUCAGUUUUUCAGACGAUAGAAAGUGGCUAGAAGAUGUCAUCCUCAGGCCAGUAGAAACAAGUAAGCGCCGUUUUAAUAAUCCCAUACUUGUUUUUUUACUCUUUCAUUGCAGAUGAUCAAGCAUGGAUGACACAUGUGGAGAAAUCAUAGUAUGUGAGACACCCGCAUAGACCACCACCCCGACCUCCAGAUUCAUCACUCUCAGACCCUCCCAUCAUUUGAACAAGAUAGGUCGAGGUAAAGACUUUAAACAAACGCUUCUCGGGAGGCAACCCGAGCACUAGAUCACGAGGAGCACGUCUAGCGGACGACGAUGACAUCGAGGAGACAACAUCAUGUAUGGGUUUUGUAUUUUGGACUACGGGACUUAUAUUUCUAACUUUUGUAUUGUGUACUAUUUACUAUUCGGACAAGUGUUGUUUUUGCGACUAUGAUCGC
This is an RNA transcript of Tarenaya hassleriana, 942 nucleotides long. RefSeq lists it as uncharacterized. The transcript is spliced from 3 exons. The record is from RefSeq and is a predicted model, not a curated record. Lineage: Eukaryota; Viridiplantae; Streptophyta; Magnoliopsida; Brassicales; Cleomaceae.